This 253-nucleotide ribosomal RNA is filed under the name uncultured bacterium. RNAcentral's name for it is "partial 16S ribosomal RNA". It matches the Rfam family "Bacterial small subunit ribosomal RNA", at positions 524 to 776 of the family's 1533-position model. The record is from RNAcentral.
GACGGAGGGGGCAAGCGUUGUCCGGAAUCACUGGGCGUAAAGCGCACGUAGGCGGGACGGUGCGUCGGUGCUGAAAGCGCCAGGCUUAACCUGGCGAGGCGUGCCGAUACGACCGACCUCGAGGCAGACAGAGGGUGGCGGAAUUCCGGGUGUAGUGGUGAAAUGCGUAGAGAUCCGGAGGAACGCCGGUGGCGAAAGCGGCCACCUGGGUCUGACCUGGCGCUGAGGUGCGAAAGCGUGGGGAGCAAACCGG